AUUGAACGCUGGCGGCAUGCUUUACACAUGCAAGUCGAACGGCAGCGCGGGCUUCGGCCUGGCGGCGAGUGGCGAACGGGUGAGUAAUGCAUCGGAACGUGCCCAGUAGUGGGGGAUAGCCCGGCGAAAGCCGGAUUAAUACCGCAUACGACCUGAGGGUGAAAGCGGGGGACCGAAAGGCCUCGCGCUAUUGGAGCGGCCGAUGUCGGAUUAGCUAGUUGGUGGGGUAAAGGCUUACCAAGGCGACGAUCCGUAGCUGGUCUGAGAGGACGACCAGCCACACUGGGACUGAGACACGGCCCAGACUCCUACGGGAGGCAGCAGUGGGGAAUUUUGGACAAUGGGGGCAACCCUGAUCCAGCCAUGCCGCGUGCGGGAAGAAGGCCUUCGGGUUGUAAACCGCUUUUGUUCGGGGAGAAAUCCUCUGGGCUAAUACCCCGGGGGGAUGACGGUACCGGAAGAAUAAGCACCGGCUAACUACGUG
RNAcentral lists this ribosomal RNA (484 nucleotides) under uncultured bacterium. RNAcentral's name for it is "partial 16S ribosomal RNA". It matches the Rfam family "Bacterial small subunit ribosomal RNA", at positions 28 to 507 of the family's 1533-position model. The record is from RNAcentral.